RNAcentral lists this ribosomal RNA (484 nucleotides) under uncultured Flavobacteriaceae bacterium. RNAcentral's name for it is "bacterial SSU rRNA". It matches the Rfam family "Bacterial small subunit ribosomal RNA", at positions 28 to 505 of the family's 1533-position model. The record is from RNAcentral. Lineage: Bacteria; Pseudomonadati; Bacteroidota; Flavobacteriia; Flavobacteriales; Flavobacteriaceae.
GAUGAACGCUAGCGGCAGGCUUAACACAUGCAAGUCGAGGGGUAACAGAGAGUGCUUGCACUCUGCUGACGACCGGCGCACGGGUGAGUAACGCGUAUGCAACCUACCUUUUACAGGGGAAUAGCCCAGAGAAAUUUGGAUUAAUACCCCAUAUUAUCCUUUAUUCGCAUGAAUUAGAGAUGAAAGUUUCGACGGUAAAAGAUGGGCAUGCGUCCUAUUAGUUUGUUGGUAAGGUAAUGGCUUACCAAGACUUCGAUAGGUAGGGGCCCUGAGAGGGGGACCCCCCACACUGGUACUGAGACACGGACCAGACUCCUACGGGAGGCAGCAGUGAGGAAUAUUGGACAAUGGAGGAAACUCUGAUCCAGCCAUGCCGCGUGCAGGAUGAAUGCCCUAUGGGUUGUAAACUGCUUUUAUACAGGAAGAAACAUUUCCACGUGUGGAAACUUGACGGUACUGUAAGAAUAAGGAUCGGCUAACUCCG